CGCGAGAAUUUGAUAUGUGCCCGAUCAACAGCGGUUCACUUUGGGAUACCUUUUGGACCCGUCUUGAAACACGGACCAAGGAGUCUAUCUAGUAUGCGAGUAAAUGAGUACAUGAAACUUAUUUGCAGAAAAAACUUGACUGUUAUGGGACUACGAGCAGCAUUCGCGUGCUGCUCCUCAAUCCCGGGGUAUUUUUAUCAACAUAUGCAGCAAUGCAUAUGGAAAAUAUACCAUGAGCAUACUGGAUACGACCCGAAAGAUGGUGAACUAUGCCUGAUCAGGUUGAAGUCAGGGGAAACCCUGAUGGAGGACCGAAGCAGUUCUGACGUGCAAAUCGAUUGUCAGAAUUGGGCAUAGGGGCGAAAGACCAAUCGAACCAUCUAGUA
This 386-nucleotide ribosomal RNA is filed under the name Eukiefferiella brundini. RNAcentral's name for it is "eukaryotic LSU rRNA". It matches the Rfam family "Eukaryotic large subunit ribosomal RNA", at positions 591 to 949 of the family's 3401-position model. Lineage: Eukaryota; Metazoa; Arthropoda; Insecta; Diptera; Chironomidae. The record is from RNAcentral.